ACGGAAGGCAGCAGUGGGGAAUAUUGGACAAUGGGGGAAACCCUGAUCCAGCGACGCCGCGUGAGUGAAGAAGUAUUUCGGUAUGUAAAGCUCUAUCAGCAAGGAAGAAAAUGACGGUACUUGACUAAGAAGCUCCGGCUAACUCCGUGCCAGCAGCCGCGGUAAUACGGAGGAUGCAGGCGUUAUCCGGAUUUAUUAGGUUUAAAGGGUGCGCAGGCGGGACACUAAGUCGGCGGUGAAAUCUCAUGGCCCAACCAUGAAACUGCCAUCGAUACUGGUGACCUUGAGUACGAAUGAGGAAGGCGGAAUGAGUCGUGUAGCGGUGAAAUGCUUAGAUAUGACUCAGAACACCAAUUGCGAAGGCAGCUUUCCAAAACGCAACUGACGCUCAUGCACGAAAGCGUGGGUAGCGAACAGGAUUAGAUACCCUGGUA
Molecule: ribosomal RNA, 434 nt
Filed under: uncultured Lachnospiraceae bacterium
Lineage: Bacteria; Bacillati; Bacillota; Clostridia; Lachnospirales; Lachnospiraceae
Description: partial 16S ribosomal RNA
Rfam family: Bacterial small subunit ribosomal RNA
Source: RNAcentral